This 507-nucleotide ribosomal RNA is filed under the name uncultured bacterium. RNAcentral describes it as "bacterial SSU rRNA". It matches the Rfam family "Bacterial small subunit ribosomal RNA", at positions 29 to 507 of the family's 1533-position model. The record is from RNAcentral.
AAUGAACGCUGGCGGCGUGCCUAACACAUGCAAGUCGAACGAGAAACUCCGGGCUUGCUCGGAGCAGUAAAGUGGCGCACGGGUGAGUAACGCGUGGGUAACCUGCCCCAGAAUCUGGGAUAACAUCGCGAAAGCGUUGCUAAUACCGGAUAUCGUCCUUAAAACUGUGGUUUUUGGGAUGAAAGAUGACCUCUCCAUGGAAGUUGUCGUUCAGGGAGGGGCCCGCGUACCAUUAGCUUGUUGGUAGGGUAAUGGCCUACCAAGGCUACGAUGGUUAGCUGGUCUGAGAGGAUGAUCAGCCACACUGGAACUGAAACACGGUCCAGACUCCUACGGGAGGCAGCAGUGAGGAAUUUUGCGCAAUGGGGGAAACCCUGACGCAGCAACGCCGUGUGAGUGAAGAAGGCCUUCGGGUCGUAAAGCUCUGUCAAGGGGGAAAAAAUCCUUUCGAUCAAUAGUCAUUAAGGACUGAUGGUACCCCUAGAGGAAGCACCGGCUAACUCCGUG